CAGCAGCCACGGUAAUACGUAGGGUGCAAGCGUUAAUCGGAAUUACUGGGCGUAAAGCGUGCGCAGGCGGUUAUAUAAGACAGAUGUGAAAUCCCCGGGCUCAACCUGGGAACUGCAUUUGUGACUGUAUAGCUAGAGUACGGCAGAGGGGGAUGGAAUUCCGCGUGUAGCAGUGAAAUGCGUAGAUAUGCGGAGGAACACCGAUGGCGAAGGCAAUCCCCUGGGCCUGUACUGACGCUCAUGCACGAAAGCGUGGGGAGCAAACAGGAUUAGAGACCCCAGUAGUCCCUGUCUCUUAUAA
Molecule: ribosomal RNA, 301 nt
Filed under: uncultured bacterium
Lineage: Bacteria
Description: partial 16S ribosomal RNA
Rfam family: Bacterial small subunit ribosomal RNA
Source: RNAcentral